UGGGGAAUUUUGGACAAUGGGCGAAAGCCUGAUCCAGCAAUGCCGCGUGUGUGAAGAAGGCCUUCGGGUUGUAAAGCACUUUUGUCCGGAAAGAAAUCCUUGGCUCUAAUACAGUCGGGGGAUGACGGUACCGGAAGAAUAAGCACCGGCUAACUACGUGCCAGCAGCCGCGUAAUACGUAGGGUGCAAGCGUUAAUCGGAAUUACUGGGGCGUAAAGCGUGCGCAGGCGGUUUGCUAAGACCGAUGUGAAAUCCCGGGCUCAACCUGGGAACUGCAUUGGUGACUGGCAGGCUAGAGUAUGGCAGAGGGGGUAGAAUUCCACGUGUAGCAGUGAAAUGCGUAGAGAUGUGGAGGAAUACCGAUGGCGAAGGCAGCCCCCUGGGCAA
This 387-nucleotide ribosomal RNA is filed under the name uncultured bacterium. Its description in RNAcentral is "partial 16S ribosomal RNA". It matches the Rfam family "Bacterial small subunit ribosomal RNA", at positions 355 to 736 of the family's 1533-position model. The record is from RNAcentral.